RNAcentral lists this ribosomal RNA (478 nucleotides) under uncultured bacterium. Its description in RNAcentral is "bacterial SSU rRNA". It matches the Rfam family "Bacterial small subunit ribosomal RNA", at positions 335 to 801 of the family's 1533-position model. The record is from RNAcentral.
ACUCCCUACGGGAGGCAGCAGUAGGGAAUCUUCCACAAUGGGCGGCAAGCCUGAUGGAGCAACACCGCGUGAGUGAAGAAGGGUUUCGGCUCGUAAAGCUCUGUUGUUAAAGAAGAACACGUAUGAGAGUAACUGUUCAUACGUUGACGGUAUUUAACCAGAAAGUCACGGCUAACUACGUGCCAGCAGCCGCGGUAAUACGUAGGUGGCAAGCGUUAUCCGGAUUUAUUGGGCGUAAAGAGAGUGCAGGCGGUUUUCUAAGUCUGAUGUGAAAGCCUUCGGCUUAACCGGAGAAGUGCAUCGGAAACUGGAUAACUUGAGUGCAGAAGAGGGUAGUGGAACUCCAUGUGUAGCGGUGGAAUGCGUAGAUAUAUGGAAGAACACCGAGUGGCGAAGGCGGCUACCUGGUCUGCAACUGACGCUGAGACUCGAAAGCAUGGGUAGCGAACAGGAUUAGAUACCCCGUGGUAGGAUAGCG